RNAcentral lists this transfer RNA (69 nucleotides) under Chaetobranchopsis bitaeniatus. RNAcentral describes it as "tRNA-His". It matches the Rfam family "tRNA". From Rfam's summary of the family: Transfer RNA (tRNA) molecules are approximately 80 nucleotides in length. Lineage: Eukaryota; Metazoa; Chordata; Actinopteri; Cichliformes; Cichlidae. The record is from RNAcentral.
GUAAAUAUAGUUUAAUCAAAACAUUAGAUUGUGAUUCUAAAAAUAAAGGUUAAAUCCCUUUUAUUCACC